UCACUUUCAACAACGGAAAUCACUAGUGCGGCCGCCUGCAGGUCGACCAUAUGGGAGAGCUCCCAACGCGUU
RNAcentral lists this ribosomal RNA (72 nucleotides) under Glomus hoi. Its description in RNAcentral is "partial 5.8S ribosomal RNA". Lineage: Eukaryota; Fungi; Glomeromycota; Glomeromycetes; Glomerales; Glomeraceae. The record is from RNAcentral.